Molecule: microRNA, 21 nt
Filed under: Apis mellifera (honey bee)
Lineage: Eukaryota; Metazoa; Arthropoda; Insecta; Hymenoptera; Apidae
Description: ame-miR-9872-5p
Source: miRBase by way of RNAcentral
AACGAGACAGAGAUAGAACGA